GAUGCGGCAUGCUUACCAUGCAGUCGAACGGUGAAGCCAAGCUUGCUUGGUGGAUCAGUGGCGAACGGGUGAGUAACACGUGAGCAACCUGCCCUGGACUCUGGGAUAAGCGCUGGAAACGGCGUCUAAUACUGGAUAUGAGCCUCUUCCGCAUGGUGGGGGUUGGAAAGAUUUUUCGGUCUGGGAUGGGCUCGCGGCCUAUCAGCUUGUUGGUGAGGUAAUGGCUCACCAAGGCGUCGACGGGUAGCCGGCCUGAGAGGGUGACCGGCCACACUGGGACUGAGACACGGCCCAGACUCCUACGGGAGGCAGCAGUGGGGAAUAUUGCACAAUGGGCGGAAGCCUGAUGCAGCAACGCCGCGUGAGGGAUGACGGCCUUCGGGUUGUAAACCUCUUUUAGCAGGGAAGAAGCGAGAGUGACGGUACCUGCAGAAAAAGCGCCGGCUAACUACGUGCCAGCAGCCGCGGUAAUACGUAGGGCGCAAGCGUUAUCCGGAAUUAUUGGGCGUAAAGAGCUCGUAGGCGGUUUGUCGCGUCUGCUGUGAAAUCCCGAGGCUCAACCUCGGGCCUGCAGUGGGUACGGGCAGACUAGAGUGCGGUAGGGGAGAUUGGAAUUCCUGGUGUAGCGGUGGAAUGCGCAGAUAUCAGGAGGAACACCGAUGGCGAAGGCAGAUCUCUGGGCCGUAACUGACGCUGAGGAGCGAAAGGGUGGGGAGCAAACAGGCUUAGAUACCCUGGUAGUCCACCCCGUAAACGUUGGGAACUAGUUGUGGGGACCAUUCCACGGUUUCCGUGACGCAGCUAACGCAUUAAGUUCCCCGCCUGGGGAGUACGGGCGCAAGGCUAAACUCAGAGGUUUUGUGUGC
Molecule: ribosomal RNA, 866 nt
Filed under: Actinobacteridae bacterium TEMPHRAG5E01
Lineage: Bacteria; Bacillati; Actinomycetota; Actinomycetes
Description: bacterial SSU rRNA
Rfam family: Bacterial small subunit ribosomal RNA
Source: RNAcentral